GACGAACGCUGGCGGCGUGCUUAACACAUGCAAGUCGAACGGAAAGGCCCUGCUUUUGUGGGGUGCUCGAGUGGCGAACGGGUGAGUAACACGUGAGUAACCUGCCCUUGACUUUGUGAUAACUUCAGGAAACUGGGGCUAAUACCGGAUAGGAGCUCCUGCUGCAUGGUGGGGGUUGGAAAGUUUCGGCGGUUGGGGAUGGACUCGCGGCUUAUCAGCUUGUUGGUGGGGUAGUGGCUUACCAAGGCUUUGACGGGUAGCCGGCCUGAGAGGGUGACCGGCCACCUUGGGACUGCGAUACGGCCCAGACUCCUACGGGCGGCAGCAGUGGGGAAUAUUGCACAAUGGGCGGAAGCCUGAUGCAGCAACGCCGCGUGCGGGAUGACGGCCUUCGGGUUGUAAACCGCUUUCGCCUGUGACGAAGCGUGAGUGACGGUAAUGGGUAAAGAAGCACCGGCUAACUACGUG
RNAcentral lists this ribosomal RNA (468 nucleotides) under uncultured bacterium. RNAcentral's name for it is "partial 16S ribosomal RNA". It matches the Rfam family "Bacterial small subunit ribosomal RNA", at positions 28 to 507 of the family's 1533-position model. The record is from RNAcentral.